RNAcentral lists this ribosomal RNA (253 nucleotides) under uncultured bacterium. RNAcentral describes it as "partial 16S ribosomal RNA". It matches the Rfam family "Bacterial small subunit ribosomal RNA", at positions 524 to 776 of the family's 1533-position model. The record is from RNAcentral.
UACGUAGGGGGCAAGCGUUGUCCGGAAUCAUUGGGCGUAAAGCGCGCGUAGGCGGCCCGGUAAGUCCGCUCUGAAAGUCCAAGGCUCAACCUUGGAAUGCGGGUGGAUACUGCCGGGCUAGAGUCCGGAAGAGGCGAGUGGAAUUCCUGGUGUAGCGGUGGAAUGCGUAGAGAUCGGGAGGAACAUCUGUGGCGAAGGCGACUGCCUGGACCAGCACUGACACUGAGGCACGAAAGCGUGGGGAGCAAACAGG